Molecule: non-coding RNA, 286 nt
Organism: Paramuricea clavata
Lineage: Eukaryota; Metazoa; Cnidaria; Anthozoa; Malacalcyonacea; Plexauridae
Source: the annotation of a GenBank genome assembly
CGGUGGCCAAGUGGUUAGCGCACUUGCCUUUCACCUCUGAGGCUGCAGGUUCGAGUCUCACUAAGUACCUUCUCAGUGCGACUCGAACCCAGUCCCCAUGUGAAAAGAGAAAAAGUCAACGCUCUGCCGAACGCCGUGGGUUUUCCCCGGGUACUCCGGUUUCCUCCCACAGGGAAAGUUGACAGGGUGGGUUAGGUAAAAAAGGGCCCACAGUAAUUGGCAUAUGCUGUUGUGGUGACCCUGCCCUAGUUGGCAAAGCUAAAUAAAUAAAUAAAUAAAUAAAUCU